CAACGCCGCGUGGAGGAUUAAGUCCCUUGGGAUGUAAACUCCUUUCGACAGGGAAGAAACUGACGGUACCUGUAGAAGAAGCCCCGGCUAACUUCGUAC
This 99-nucleotide ribosomal RNA is filed under the name uncultured bacterium. RNAcentral's name for it is "partial 16S ribosomal RNA". It matches the Rfam family "Bacterial small subunit ribosomal RNA", at positions 392 to 508 of the family's 1533-position model. The record is from RNAcentral.